AGAUAAAUGGAAAUGGGUAAUAAAAAUCUCCAUUCCUAUAGGCCAAAAAUCAUGCCCAAUGGGCUUCAAGGAGGCUGUCUAAAGUCUUAUUAGGAAUUAGGAUUACUCUUUUGAGGGCAUUCGAACUUUGAAGACUAGAAUCAGCAAGUUUAGAUUUUUUACUAUGGUUUUGGUAAAAAAUUUGUAUGAUUUGGAGUUUAUAUGAAAGAGAUAUGGAUAUUCAAAGUUAAGGUGUUGAUUUUGUAUCUAUUGUCACUCUUUUAGACAUAAUAUAAUAAAGGAUUGGCAACCAAGAUUAAAGAGAGUACUUUUUGAGCUAUAUUUUUAGUAUAUUGUUUGAUGGAUUCUAAGUUGGGAUGAAGGAGAUAUUGGAGGUUGAAGUCAAUACUUAUAAAUCUAAAGGUUGUAAGUGACUGUCAUGGACAUACACAUGUAAGCUAGUAAUUAUUUGUAUAAAUAAGUAGAAGUAAGUAGAAGUAAGUAGAAGUAGAUAAAAGUAAAUUAAUUCUAUAAUAUCUUCUAUAGAAGCUCCCCAGAACCUUCAUAGAUGUUGUUUUGACUUUAUAGGUAUCU
Molecule: long non-coding RNA, 573 nt
Filed under: Physcomitrium patens
Lineage: Eukaryota; Viridiplantae; Streptophyta; Bryopsida; Funariales; Funariaceae
Description: long non-coding RNA (PPAT_LNC002509)
Source: RNAcentral